AGUACAGCGAAAGAAUGAAAGUAAUGCUGAUAAACCUCUUUAAACAUUCCUGGAACCUGAUUUUCUGCUAAUGAACAAUGCUAACUGUUGACCAUUUACACAUCAGUGUCCUCACAUGGACAUGAUUUAAAGGACAUCGUCAUCGUCUGAGCUGGAGGCUUUACUGAGCUCUUUACGGUCCAUAAAACCACAUUAUAUGAGCAUCACUCUGAAUUCCAGUUAUUCCAGUAUGGAGAGUUAUAUUGGUUCCUUCCACUUCCUGCAGUUUGACCGUCUCGUCUCCAGCCGCACACAGUAAACCUGCAUCACAGCUUCAGCUUCAGAUUCAUCAUUUCACUCACAAACACAAUCACAUACAGUCCAUUAAAACUACACUGUGCUACAGAUUUGGGAUUUCAGAUGAUGAUGUUUUCAACUUCAAAAUGCAAAAAUAUUACAGUUCAGGGAAUCUAAUAUAUUCUGUAGCAAAUAAAUUAUUAUGUACUUCAGUAGUGCAUCUAUUACUAUAUAUGUCACAGCUAACUCUAUACAGUGUCUUGCAAAAGUAUUCAAACCCCUUAAAAGCUAUUAGGAUUAUAGGAAGAUUAUAAAUGACUUACACAUUAGAAAAUAGAAACUUAGAUCAUCAUCACAAAUCAGCACAAUGAAUCUAUAAUAUCAUGGAUUUAUAGUCUUAAGAAUCCUAAAUCAAUAACCACAAGCUGUCUUUACUAUACAGUCAGAACACUUUAAUUGCUAACAUUAUUUUAUUUGCAGAAAAGUGGACUGAACUGGAUCUUUCCCUGUCACUGGAGUGGAGAAAAACACCUUCUGUACCUUCAGGUGUGUCUCUAAACAUUACUCUCAAAGCUAAUUAAUGUACAUGAGUGUUUCUUAAACUAAUCAUGUUCCUCAGAUCAAUUAAAAGUAAAACACACUCAUAUAAUUAAAAAAAA
Molecule: long non-coding RNA, 935 nt
Organism: Pangasianodon hypophthalmus (striped catfish)
Lineage: Eukaryota; Metazoa; Chordata; Actinopteri; Siluriformes; Pangasiidae
Exons: 2
Source: RefSeq, a predicted model, not a curated record